This 676-nucleotide ribosomal RNA is filed under the name uncultured Enterobacteriaceae bacterium. Its description in RNAcentral is "bacterial SSU rRNA". It matches the Rfam family "Bacterial small subunit ribosomal RNA", at positions 28 to 697 of the family's 1533-position model. Lineage: Bacteria; Pseudomonadati; Pseudomonadota; Gammaproteobacteria; Enterobacterales; Enterobacteriaceae. The record is from RNAcentral.
AUUGAACGCUGGCGGCAGGCCUAACACAUGCAAGUCGAACGGUAACAGGAAGAAGCUUGCUUCUUUGCUGACGAGUGGCGGACGGGUGAGUAAUGUCUGGGAAACUGCCUGAUGGAGGGGGAUAACUACUGGAAACGGUAGCUAAUACCGCAUAACGUCGCAAAACCAAAGAGGGGGACCUUCGGGCCUCUUGCCAUCGGAUGUGCCCAGAUGGGAUUAGCUAGUAGGUGGGGUAACGGCUCACCUAGGCGACGAUCCCUAGCUGGUCUGAGAGGAUGACCAGCCACACUGGAACUGAGACACGGUCCAGACUCCUACGGGAGGCAGCAGUGGGGAAUAUUGCACAAUGGGCGCAAGCCUGAUGCAGCCAUGCCGCGUGUAUGAAGAAGGCCUUCGGGUUGUAAAGUACUUUCAGCGGGGAGGAAGGGAGUAAAGUUAAUACCUUUGCUCAUUGACGUUACCCGCAGAAGAAGCACCGGCUAACUCCGUGCCAGCAGCCGCGGUAAUACGGAGGGUGCAAGCGUUAUUCGGAAUUUCUGGGCGUAAAGCGCACGCAGGCGGUUUGUUAAGUCAGAUGUGAAAUCCCCGGGUUCAACCUGGGAACGCAUUUUGAUACUGGGAAGCUUGAGUCUCUUUAGAAGGGGGGUAGAAAUCCAGGUUUCUCCGGGAAAAACAU